UUUUUUUUUUCUAUUGUCACCGACAUCGAACAUCUUUAAACACCCACUGUCAGCAAAAUAUCAAUCACCGUUCGAGAGUUAUUGGCAAAAUGGAGUGAAUGCGCGGUGAGAGAGCCGUUUCUGUCAAUGGACACCGUGGAGGUGCGAUGGAAAGUUAUUUAAGAUAAAUCAAAUGCGUUGUGUUAAUUGAGAGAAGGAGGCCUGGGGGAGCGAGGCGUCUGCGGUGCUGUGUCCAUGGCCAGAAUCCUCCUGGAGGGCACCUUGGCUGUGCCCACCAAAAUCUAAAAUGCAGGUGUUCCCUGCUGCCCUAGAGGUUCAGGAUCCGGCUUUGCCACCGCGGUGGCUUGGGCUCGAGUCCUGGCCCGGGAGCUUCCGCAUGCCACGGGCAUGGCCAAAAAAUAAAAAAUAAAUAAACCUGCAACGCCCCCCCGACAUACAUUCCACUAGCAUCCAUAAGGAUGAGAGUUCGAUCCCUGGCCCUUCGCAGUGGAUUAAGGAUCUGGCCUUGCCGUGAGCUAUGGUGUGGGUUGAAGAUGAGGCUCGGAUCCUGUGUUGCUGUGAUUCAUGGAAAGAUCGGAGCACAUGUAUUUAUUACACCUCUGCAGGGUCCUUGGAAACAUGAACCACCAGACACCACCUAAGUCCCACGCAACGACCCCCAGUACGUCUCAGUAUGAAAUCACGGUGCGGCCACUAAAAAGGUACCUACAUCCACAGCGGGGUUUCCCAGCCUGGGCACGAUGGGCGUUUUGAGCCAGAGGACCCCCUGGGGUGGAGACGGUGCCUGUAGGGUGUUGAGCAGCAUCCUUGGCCUCUACCCAUGAGAUGCCAGCAGCGCCACCACUGCCAGGUUGCGACAACCAAAAAUGUCUCCAGACGUUGCCCAACGUCCCUCCGGGGCAGAACUGUGUGGCUGGUCUAUAGGUGUGAUCAUGGGUGGAUGUGUGUAAUUACUGCCGAGCAGAAAUACUGAAAUAGGAACUGUGUAUGUAAUAGGGACCCAUUUUUACAGCAAAAGCGAGGCUAAAAAUCAAAUCGCUCAUGAGGGUUACUUCUGGAGGGAGGCGUCUCUCCUUUUCACUUCUUUGUAUUUCGAUGCUCUUUGCACUGGAGUUCCCUGGUGGCUCAGUGGGUUAAGGAUCUGGUGUCACUGCUGCGGGGCCUGAAUUUGAUCCCUGGCCCCGGAAAUUCCACAUGCCGUGGGUGCUGCCAAAACAUACAUAUAUAUGCUGUUUGCAUUUUUACAACAAGCGUUGACAGCUUUAACUUAAGCCAUCUUAAUUAACAUACCAAAGAGGCUCGGGCACACGUGCAUGUGUGCGUGUGUUUCCCAGUGAGGCUGACAAUGCGACUCGCGGUUGCCCUCGCCACUCAGGAGUCACCGGGUGCUCCUUGGAAACAGCAGAUGUUUCUCUCAGUUACCGAUUUUCAAGAGUCUGGUGUUUCCCAACAUGAGCGCAGAGGGCAGCGCCAGGAGGGGAGGUGCACGGGGCUCCGUUUCCAAGACUCUCAGACAAAAAGCUCCGCGCUGAAUGGGCCCACAAUGAGGCGGCAUUGAACCUCUUGUCAAUUCCUCCUCCAUCAGCCCCGCCGCGUGCUGGAGGGCCUGGGGUCGCUCGAGACCAGACGGUGGGGAGGGGUCUCGGCGCUGGCUGGGGGUGCUGUCCUGAGUCUCACCCAGGGCAGAGGUGGGGCCACGCACUGAGCGCCAAGGUCAGACGUCCGUCCGGAGACCCUGGAGAAGGGGUGAGUGCUGGACAAGGUCCCCUGCACCCUUGGGCUCCCGGGACCUGAAUUUGAUUCUGCAAACACCGGCACAGGGUGGUGCGAUGGGGAGCAGGAGCCCUGGGGCUGGCCUGGUGGUGCCCAACCCCAGCUCGACCUGUGGCCCAGCGUGGGACCCAAGGAAGUUCCUUCAGCCUCUGCGCCUCAGUUCCCCCGGCGAGGAGGCGGCCACCAGGGGACCAAGAGGGCCAACGAACGCGGCCAGGUGAACGCAUAGCAGGUGUCGGGUACAUGUCAUGUGGCCCAUCAGCUGUCAUUCACAAGAGCUACUUGCUCGGCCCAACGCCAGCUCUCCUGGGCCCCCAGCCUCCUCCUUUCAUUGCUAACUGCUUCCUGGUGGCCUGCACGGUCCUCUCAGCCCGGCGGCGGGCUGCCUGCCCUGCCAGCAGAACCUCUGCCCAAACUGGUCACCUCCUGGGAGGUCCGCUCGACUCUCCCUCCCCAGUUCCCAGCUCCUGCGGGCACUUCCUUCUCCGGCUUCCUCUGGCGGUUUGAAGCUCUCGCGUAUACCUAGCGGUUAAUUUUGUAAAUACCACACAGACUCUCUGCUAUGACCGCCAAGAAAAUGUAUGUAUCAUCGUUUAGCCUUCCUUUUGUCUGCAUCUUAUUGCCACUGCUAGUCUGUCUACUCCAUCAGGAUGCUGUCUCCUUGUCCUGCAAGUUCCUCACAACCAGCACAAGACUGGCAAGCAGGAGCCCUUCUGCCCAGUCUGUGGUAGACUCCUGUUCAACCCUCAAAACCCAACUGUGGUUGCCCCGGAGCAACUUUUACAUCCUAUUAUGGCAUCAAGCCUAGCUCCAAAGACGAGGGUAUCCCCUUUACCGGACUCUCCUUGCUGUCUGGCCCACCAUGAGCUAGGUGGUCACACCCAAUCAGCUAAGCACUAGGGAGCCUAGAACCUCCAGAGCAGUGCAGGGGCUCAAGGUGUAGACCUGGAUGUGACACACACCUCUCUGGGCUCGAGUCCCCUCCAGAUGAACACCAUGGCCAAACAGCGCCUCGCUCACGGAACCAACAUGAGAUUCCAUGGAAGAAUGGCUCUCACGGCACCAGGCUCACAGCAAACCCUAAAGUGAUAGUUACAAUAGGAGCUGGUACUAAUAGAUCAACUUAAAGUUCUCACCUCCUUCCCAAUUCCUCCCCUUGGGGCAGAAAGGGUCCCUUGUGUUAUGCGCGGAAUAUUUACUUCCCCCAAAUUAGCAUGUUCAAGCCCUAACUGCCGCAAGCAUGGCUGUAUUUGGAGAUGGGGUCUCUAAAUAAACGGUGGUCAUAAGUGUGGGGCCCUGACCCUACGGGAUUAGUGUCUUUAUAAGCAGAAACACCAGAGAGCUCAUUUUCUCUCUCUGCACACACACCAAGGAAAGGCCACACAGGCCACAGCAAGAAGGCAGCCGUCUGCCAGCCAGGUAAAGAGCCCUCACCAGAACCCGAUCUGCCAGCACCUUGAACUUGGACCUGCACACACUAACACACCUUGAAUGGUAAGGGCUGAUGUUGGGAAGGAGGCUGCAAGCCGUGGAGGCAGGGAACCUGCCCCCGGGUGGAAUGGGGGUUGGGGGGCGCACUACGGAAACACAAGUGCACCCGUGGGGACAGAGGGACAGCCAGCAGCCAUCUCUGCCGCUGCCCAGGGCAUGUGUGACGUUAUUCACCACGAGGGAUGUUCUGUCUACAUCCAACCUCAGGGGCUUUUUGGUCCCACUCACUCUCCCCAGUGGCACCCAUGUGCUGCGCACCUACUGUGUGUCAGGCCCUGUGCCAAGCCCUGGAGAUGCAUGGCUUCCCAGGGGGCUACAUAAAUCCUACACUCCACGGCAACAGGAUUCCAAUCUGUGCCCCCAGGAACCUGCUGGAUUUAUUUCUGGGACAGAUGAUCAAUGGUCUAGAUGCCCAAGGCUGUCCUAUCAAUGACCAUCCAACAGGUGCCUCCCCUCCCAGGUUCCUGGGGUCCAAGUUUUCAUCUCACGGAGCUUUCCUAGCAGCUUCCUGGGGGGGGCGGGAUGUCUUAGUUCAAUGGUCCCCCUGUUCUAGGGACAGGGAUCUGAGGCCCGGGGAGGGAAAUGGCACGCCCAUGCUCACGCAGGUGCCACACGGGGCCUGGCGACCUAACUGCCAUCCUCUCUCGACAAGAAACUCGACAAAAGCCACAAUCACACACAGGGCCACCUUCGGCAGUGCCAGCCGGAAGCAGUAGUGGUUCUCUCACUCUCUCUCACCCCCUCUCUUCCCAUAGAAUGAGCAGCAGCUGGCAAAGGCCGAGUCAUCAGGAGCCAGACUGGGCGGCAAGGGGACACAGUGCCAACUUGCCAGCCAGGGAGGUGGGGCGGCCCACUGCUUGAUGGAGGACUCAGGGUCUUCCCCCCCUGCCCGGGUGACCUGGCCCAGGAAUUCCCUGUCCCUAACUGGGAAUUUACAGAUUUGUGUGGGGGAGGCUCCAGGAAAGGAGGCUGGACACACGGACCGUCGGCCACUGCGCAGACCCUCUGCCUGGGGAAGGAACCAAGGUUGGGAGAAGCCCCAGUGGGGAAAUGACGUCACCCCUGCAGGACGCCCCCCAACCGAUGGGAGCCCUAACAUGUGUCUCUGACAUUCUCAAGGCCUCAGAGCCCAGGUCUGUCUGAGGGCGUCUGUGUGUCUGUCUCCCAUCCUUGCAUACGUAUGUCCUUCUCUUUCAGGCUGUUUGUCUUCCUGGGUGUCGUGUGUGUGUGUGUGUGUGUGUGUGUGUGUGUUGUGUGUGUGUGUGUGUGUGCGUGCGUGUGUCUGGGGUCUAAAUCUGUCCAGACUCUUAUGAGUCCCUUCCGCUUUCCUUUUCAGGCGACAGGCAAAACAAAUUCCCAGAGGGCAGUUACAAGCCUCCCAGACCAGACGCCAGACGCCUCUCCCAGUCCCCACCCCGCGGGCGAGGCUAUUCCAGCCCGUGGUAUCAUUUCCUCUUGAACAUCGUCCAGCAGCCCGAACUCCCCAACAAUGGCCAAGGCCAAGGUUCUGUUCCCUGAGGAAAGCAGCAGCCCGGGAGGCAGACACAGCGAGCGGCGGGGGGCAGGGGGGCCGGCUCUGCAUUCGAGUCCAGAUGCCGCCACUUCCUGCGUGUGGGACCCUGGGCGGUCCCCUGGGACCCCGGCCUUCGUUUCCCCCUCGUGAAGCCCGGGGCCAUCACUGAAUCGCCUCCCAGGAUCACUGAGGGUCCACCGCGGAGGCAAUGUGUACUAGCUCUCCCACCCCUAGCAGCAGGUACACAGCAAGUGCCUAAUAAACGGGGGCCAUCGUGAGACUGGAAGCAGGUGUGAGGGACGCGAGGGCGUCUGUGCACAGUCGUUAAGGAUCCAGAGUGGGUGGUGCUGAGCAGGUACAUUCAAUUUAUAGGAUAACAACUGGGAGGCAAGGAAAAGGCAGGCGAGAUGGAGAAACAGGAAAACCCUCGGGAGAGACCCACACGGGCCACAAGGUCCUGGGGCAAGGCUUAGAGGGGGGCCGGCUGGGGUCCUCUCCCGCCCUUGCGGCUCAUUGGAUGCAGAUCCAGCCUACACUGGGAUCAGGACAGAACCCACCUCCCACAAGGGGAGCCGGUGGGGGGUCUUCCCAGGUGGAGGCCGGGCAUCUUAGGGGUCCCUCCUCAAAAGCAAAAGGGGUGCCUGCGUGUGCUCCCUCGUCUCCCAGCUUCCUCUGAUGCACUGACGUCCCACCAGCCUCGUCUGCACCCCUCAGUCGGAGCAAUUUUUAAGAAACCCCAAUUGGAUCCCUGACUCACGCUCAGAUUAAAGCCGGAUGGGGCCCGAUCAACCUCAUCUCUGCACCUGUCGUCUCCUUCUCAUGCUCAUCACACUCCAGCCACGCUGGCCUUUUUCCUGUUCCUACCCCAGGACCUUUGCAUGUGCCAUCUUGUCAUGGGACGUUCCGUGUUCCCACCUCAGGGAGGCCUCCUGGUCACCCCAUGCCAAAGGUACUCACUCUCACCGAGCUGCAAAUGUCCCGAUGGCCUGUCUAGGCCACAAGGGGCAACGCGGUGUAGAGUUAGGAGGCUGGACUCUCUGCGCUGCCCUAUGACUCUGCGCCUGCUUCUUCAUCCGUACCCUGGGGUCAAAGGAGAGGCCUCCUCACCGGCCUGCUUGAGGAUUAUAAAAUACCUGGAGGGUGCCUGGCACAGGGGCGAGCAGCCUGGCAGUUUAUUGCUGAUUUCCCCUCAGCAGCAAGAAAGGUGCAUGCGAAGGCCCUUGUUUGUCUUGUUCUCGCCGAAUCCCUGGUGGCUAACACCGUGCUUGGCACAACAACAUGCUGCCCUCAAUCAGUAUUUGAAGGAGGAAGGAAUUCACCGCCAAGGUCCACUCGCUGCGAUGCCCAUCUCUCCCCAGAGGCCGGAGGAUGGAUGGGUGUGGAUGACACGGGGGAGGUCUUUCACAAAACUAAAUUUGCCACUACCAUCCGACCC
This 6212-nucleotide long non-coding RNA is filed under the name Sus scrofa (pig). RNAcentral describes it as "lncRNA (ENSSSCG00005001895.1)". The record is from RNAcentral. Lineage: Eukaryota; Metazoa; Chordata; Mammalia; Artiodactyla; Suidae.